AUUGAACGCUGGCGGCAGGCCUAACACAUGCAAGUCGAGCGGAUGAAGGGAGCUUGCUCCUGGAUUCAGCGGCGGGCGGGUGAGUAAUGCCUAGGAAUCUGCCUGGUAGUGGGGGAUAACGUCCGGAAACGGGCGCUAAUACCGCAUACGUCCUGAGGGAGAAAGUGGGGGAUCUUCGGACCUCACGCUAUCAGAUGAGCCUAGGUCGGAUUAGCUAGUUGGUGGGGUAAGGGCCUACCAAGGCGACGAUCCGUAACUGGUCUGAGAGGAUGAUCAGUCACACUGGAACUGAGACACGGUCCAGACUCCUACGGGAGGCAGCAGUGGGGAAUAUUGGACAAUGGGCGAAAGCCUGAUCCAGCCAUGCCGCGUGUGUGAAGAAGGUCUUCGGAUUGUAAAGCACUUUAAGUUGGGAGGAAGGGCAGUAAGUUAAUACCUUGCUGUUUUGACGUUACCAACAGAAUAAGCACCGGCUAACUUCGUG
Molecule: ribosomal RNA, 484 nt
Filed under: uncultured bacterium
Lineage: Bacteria
Description: partial 16S ribosomal RNA
Rfam family: Bacterial small subunit ribosomal RNA
Source: RNAcentral